RNAcentral lists this ribosomal RNA (253 nucleotides) under uncultured bacterium. RNAcentral's name for it is "partial 16S ribosomal RNA". It matches the Rfam family "Bacterial small subunit ribosomal RNA", at positions 524 to 776 of the family's 1533-position model. The record is from RNAcentral.
UACGGAGGGGGCUAGCGUUGUUCGGAAUUACUGGGCGUAAAGGGUGCGUAGGCGGGUUUUUAAGUCAGGGGUGAAAUCCCGAGGCUCAACCUCGGAACUGCCUUUGAUACUGGAAAUCUUGAGUCUGGGAGAGGUGAGUGGAACUGCGAGUGUAGAGGUGAAAUUCGUAGAUAUUGGGAAGAACACCGGUGGCGAAGGCGGCUCACUGGCUCGUAACUGACGCUCAUGCACGACAGCGUGGGGAUCAAACAGG